GCCCGGGUGGCUCAGUCGGUUGAGCAACUGACUUCGGCUCAGGUCAUGAUCUCACAGUUCGUGGGUUCGAGCCCCGCGUUGGGCU
This 85-nucleotide transfer RNA is filed under the name Felis catus (domestic cat). It matches the Rfam family "tRNA". Rfam says of the family: Transfer RNA (tRNA) molecules are approximately 80 nucleotides in length. Their secondary structure includes four short double-helical elements and three loops (D, anti-codon, and T loops). Lineage: Eukaryota; Metazoa; Chordata; Mammalia; Carnivora; Felidae. The record is from Rfam by way of RNAcentral.